AGUGAACGCUGGCGGUAGGCCUAACACAUGCAAGUCGAACGGCAGCACAGUAAGAGCUUGCCCUUACGGGUGGCGAGUGGCGGACGGGUGAGGAAUACAUCGGAAUCUACUUUUUCGUGGGGGAUAACGUAGGGAAACUUACGCUAAUACCGCAUACGACCUACGGGGGAAAGCAGGGGAUCUUCGGACCUUGCGCGAUUGAAUGAGCCGCUGUCGGGUUAGCUAGUUGGCGGGGUAAAGGCCCACCAAGGCGACGAUCGGUAGCUGGUCGGGGAGGAGGAUCGGCCGCAUUAGAGCGGGGACGCGGACCAUGGUCCUGCGGGAGGGACCAGAGGGGUAUGGUGGACAGUGGGCGCGAGCAUUGUCCAGCGGUACCGAGUGGGUGGAGGAGGCCUUCGGUUUGUAAAGCCCUUUUGUGGGGAGUGAAAAGCAGUCGGUUAAUACCCAGCUGUUCUGACGGUAGCCAAAGAAGAAGCACCGGCUAACUUCGUG
Molecule: ribosomal RNA, 492 nt
Filed under: uncultured bacterium
Lineage: Bacteria
Description: partial 16S ribosomal RNA
Rfam family: Bacterial small subunit ribosomal RNA
Source: RNAcentral